UAUCUUCUUAGAAUAAACAGUGAAAACAAGUUUCAACACAGAACAACAGCCUAACGUGUCCUCUCAGCGGGCACCCUGUGAAGAAGACAGGACAUAUCGGGCAAACAGGAAGGGCUGAACAAUCCAGGCAGGGUGGCCUCUUGAAAAAACUGUCAGAAAGACAAAUCUUAAAUCAAGGUCUGCUGUCGGCCCCCUGCCUUCUGUUGAGUGGAAGGUUGGGUUCAUCCAAUGCUCUUCUCUGACACUCCCUCCUCUUCUGUUUCAUUCCUGGGCAUCCAAGCCCAGUGAUUUGUUUUGGAAAUGUUAUUAUUUGUUAGCUUAGCUUUUAUCUCAGUUGGAUGCCUUUCCUGUUUCACUGUUUUCCUUUCAGGGAGCAGAGCCAACACUUGCCUCUGGGAGUUUUAUUCAACACAUCCCUGUUGUUAAAUGAAGCUCAAGAAGUUUUGAUUAACAAGCCAACCCAGGUUGAAGUCAACCAUGGCCUAGGGAAAGUGUCUGGCACCCUCUGGAGCCUGGAGGAGAAAUGCAGUAGUGGAGCUUCUGUUUGGAAUAUCGACCUGGCAAAUGAACCCCAGAGAGGUUGCAAAAGCAAUUGUGGAGCCCCCAGCAUCCUUCCAAACCUGAAGAAAUUCUUGACACAAGACCAUAGAGAAAAAAUUCUCACGGAACCUGCCUUUUCCUCUACUCCAUGGGUCCUUGGGAUGUCUGCCUCUACCCGGACACCUCUGAUUUCAGUCCUCCACGUUGAUCAUGACCAGUGCAGCUUUACUUGGGUGAGUCGACAGACCACGUGACAGGUGGCAUUCUGCAAUGUGUCUCUACAGAGCUUUGCUUUAGUGCCUAUUUGCCCAGUUCUCAUUCAGGAGAAGCAGAAAUGUUUUGCCCUGCCCCAUCUGCUAAAUCCUGUGUGCUGGAGCAGUCUAGGCCUGUGAAGCAUUGAGCUGUGUGGUUGUGCUGGUUCCAGACUCAGCUCUUAGCUCUGUUUCCAGUGGAGGGAAACUAUAAGGAACUGAAUAUCCCUGGGAAACAAUGAAAGGUUAAAAUGAUUCCCACAUGGGGCCAGUGCCAUGGCUCACUUGGUUAAUCCUCCACCUGUGGCGCCGGCAUCCCAUGUGGGCGCCAGGUUCUAGUCCCGGUUGCUCCUCUUCCAGUCCAGCUCUCUGCUGUGACCCGGGGAGUGGGGGCAGUGGAGGAUGGCCCAAGUGCUUGGGCCCGUGCACCCGCGUUGGAGACCAGGAGGAAGUACCUGGCUCCUGGCUUCAGAUCGGCGCAGUGCCAGCCAUGGCAGCCAUUUGGGGAGUGAACCAAGGGAGGGAAGACCUUUCUCUCUGUCUCUCUUACUGUCUGUAAUUCUACCUGUCAAAAAAAAAAAAAAAAGUGAUUCCCACAAACCCUGAGUUUAAUCUAAAAAGGAAAAACCUAGCUCUUUUUUUACACUCAUGUGUCUAGUGCAUUUCAUACACUCAUGUGUCCUAGUGCAAUAUUAUUCAGGAUACUUACUAAAUAGCAAAAAAAAAAAAAAAUUGGUGAUAAUUUGCUGAUUGGGACAUGAAAUAAGAACUGUGGAAUUCUGCUGCAAUUUGGGUCAUGAUCUCAGCUUUCUUUCACUGGCCUCAAGAGUCUCUAUCACAAAGUCAUCUAUAAUCUCUUCUGGGUCUAAGUAUAUUUGGACUAUACUUUCUAAAGCUUUGGGAUUUGAUUAAAAUGAAAGUAGGGAGGCUGGCACUGUGUGUAGUAGGUUAAACCUCCUCCUGCGGUGCCAGCAUCCCAUAUAGGUAUUGGUUAAUUUCCCAGCUGCUCCUCUUCCAAUCCAGCUCUCUGCUUUGGCCUGGGAAAGCAGUGUAAGAUGGCCCACGUGCUUGGGCCCCUGCACCUAUGUAGGUGACCUGGAAGAAGCUCCUGGCUCCUGGCUUCAGACUGGCCCGGCUCUGGCUGUUGUGACCAUUUGAGGAGUUAACCAGUGGAUGAGAGACCUUUCUGUGUCUCUCCGUCUCUCUCUGUAACUCAACGCAAAUAAAUAAAUUAAAUAAAUAAAAUAUUUUUAAAAA
Molecule: long non-coding RNA, 2048 nt
Organism: Oryctolagus cuniculus (rabbit)
Lineage: Eukaryota; Metazoa; Chordata; Mammalia; Lagomorpha; Leporidae
Source: Ensembl